GUCUACGGCCAUACCACCCUGAACACACCCGAUCUCAUCUGAUCUCGGAAGCUAAGCAGGGUCGGGCCUGGUUAGUACUUGGAUGGGAGAACUCAGUGGCACCAUGAUGUCAUCGAAC
This is a ribosomal RNA of Delphinapterus leucas (beluga whale), 118 nucleotides long. The record is from Ensembl. Lineage: Eukaryota; Metazoa; Chordata; Mammalia; Artiodactyla; Monodontidae.